GACGAACGCUGGCGGCGUGCUUAACACAUGCAAGUCGAACGGAAAGGCCCUGCUUGCAGGGUACUCGAGUGGCGAACGGGUGAGUAACACGUGGGUGAUCUGCCCUGCACUUCGGGAUAAGCCUGGGAAACUGGGUCUAAUACCGGAUAGGAGCCAUUUUUAGUGUGAUGGUUGGAAAGUUUUUUCGGUGUAGGAUGAGCUCGCGGCCUAUCAGCUUGUUGGUGGGGUAAUGGCCUACCAAGGCGGCGACGGGUAGCCGGCCUGAGAGGGUGGACGGCCACAUUGGGACUGAGAUACGGCCCAGACUCCUACGGGAGGCAGCAGUGGGGAAUAUUGCACAAUGGGCGCAAGCCUGAUGCAGCGACGCCGCGUGGGGGAUGACGGCCUUCGGGUUGUAAACUCCUUUCGCUAGGGACGAAGCUUUUUGCGACGGUACCUAGAUAAGAAGCACCGGCUAACUACGU
RNAcentral lists this ribosomal RNA (464 nucleotides) under uncultured bacterium. Its description in RNAcentral is "partial 16S ribosomal RNA". It matches the Rfam family "Bacterial small subunit ribosomal RNA", at positions 28 to 506 of the family's 1533-position model. The record is from RNAcentral.